This 550-nucleotide ribosomal RNA is filed under the name uncultured bacterium. RNAcentral describes it as "bacterial SSU rRNA". It matches the Rfam family "Bacterial small subunit ribosomal RNA", at positions 10 to 606 of the family's 1533-position model. The record is from RNAcentral.
AGUUUGAUCAUGGCUCAGAACGAACGCUGGCGGCAUGCCUAACACAUGCAAGUCGAACGAGACCUUCGGGUCUAGUGGCGCACGGGUGCGUAACGCGUGGGAACCUGCCCUUAGGUUCGGAAUAACUCCCCGAAAGGGGUGCUAAUACCGGAUGAUGUCUUCGGACCAAAGAUUUAUCGCCUAUGGAUGGGCCCGCGUUGGAUUAGCUAGUUGGUAGGGUAAAGGCCUACCAAGGCGACGAUCCAUAGCUGGUCUUAGAGGAUGAUCAGCCACACUGGGACUGAGACACGGCCCAGACUCCUACGGGAGGCAGCAGUGGGGAAUAUUGGACAAUGGGCGAAAGCCUGAUCCAGCAAUGCCGCGUGAGUGAUGAAGGCCUUAGGGUUGUAAAGCUCUUUUACCCGGGAUGAUAAUGACAGUACCGGGAGAAUAAGCCCCGGCUAACUCCGUGCCAGCAGCCGCGGUAAUACGGAGGGGGCUAGCGUUGUUCGGAAAUACUGGGCGUAAAGCGAACGUAGGCGGCGUGGCAAGUCAGGGGUGAAAUCCCGGA